GCAAUGGUGAUUUAAUGGUAGAAUUCUCACCUUCCAUGUGGGACACCCAGGUUUUAUUCCUGGCCAAUACA
This 71-nucleotide transfer RNA is filed under the name Loxodonta africana (African savanna elephant). It matches the Rfam family "tRNA". From Rfam's summary of the family: Transfer RNA (tRNA) molecules are approximately 80 nucleotides in length. Their secondary structure includes four short double-helical elements and three loops (D, anti-codon, and T loops). Lineage: Eukaryota; Metazoa; Chordata; Mammalia; Proboscidea; Elephantidae. The record is from Rfam by way of RNAcentral.